GGCGUGCCUAAUACAUGCAAGUCGAGCGGACAGAUGGGAGCUUGCUCCCUGAUGUUAGCGGCGGACGGGUGAGUAACACGUGGGUAACCUGCCUGUAAGACUGGGAUAACUCCGGGAAACCGGGGCUAAUACCGGAUGGUUGUCUGAACCGCAUGGUUCAGACAUAAAAGGUGGCUUCGGCUACCACUUACAGAUGGACCCGCGGCGCAUUAGCUAGUUGGUGAGGUAACGGCUCACCAAGGCGACGAUGCGUAGCCGACCUGAGAGGGUGAUCGGCCACACUGGGACUGAGACACGGCCCAGACUCCUACGGGAGGCAGCAGUAGGGAAUCUUCCGCAAUGGACGAAAGUCUGACGGAGCAACGCCGCGUGAGUGAUGAAGGUUUUCGGAUCGUAAAGCUCUGUUGUUAGGGAAGAACAAGUGCCGUUCAAAUAGGGCGGCACCUUGACGGUACCUAACCAGAAAGCCACGGCUAACUACGUGCCAGCAGCCGCGGUAAUACGUAGGUGGCAAGCGUUGUCCGGAAUUAUUGGGCGUAAAGGGCUCGCAGGCGGUUUCUUAAGUCUGAUGUGAAAGCCCCCGGCUCAACCGGGGAGGGUCAUUGGAAACUGGGGAACUUGAGUGCAGAAGAGGAGAGUGGAAUUCCACGUGUAGCGGUGAAAUGCGUAGAGAUGUGGAGGAACACCAGUGGCGAAAG
This 698-nucleotide ribosomal RNA is filed under the name Bacillus sp. (in: firmicutes). RNAcentral describes it as "bacterial SSU rRNA". It matches the Rfam family "Bacterial small subunit ribosomal RNA", at positions 41 to 721 of the family's 1533-position model. Lineage: Bacteria; Bacillati; Bacillota; Bacilli; Caryophanales; Bacillaceae. The record is from RNAcentral.